AAAAAGUAAAACUUCAGACCUUAAACUUACACUUUAAUAGAUGUAAUAGACUCUCUCAAAUGGCGUGCCAGCAGUCUCGGUUAUACGAUUAGACUUUAAAAUAUAUAAAUUCUUCAUAAGUAUUAUUCAUAAAAAAGCAAAGUCACAAAAAGUGAAAUUUUGAAAUUCUCUAAUGUUAAAAAUGAAGAAAAACAUAACCGCGAAGGAAAAGGAUUAGAUACCCUUCUACUAAUUUUUCCAAAGGUAAUAAAUGGAAUUCAUCAAACCUAAAAGAAUUGGCGGUCUUUAACCCACUCAGGGGGAUUUGCCCCUUAAAUCGAUAACCCCCGAUUAAAAAGACCUACCUUUUUAGCAUGUAUAUCGCCGAAGGAUUUAGAAAACUUUUCCAGAAUUUCAGGUAAAAUACAGCUCAUAGGGAGGAGAAGGUUAAUCACAAAAAAGAUUUUCCAUUAAAGUUUUCUAAAAAAUAAGGACCUGAAAGUAAAAUUUUCAUAGAAUAAGAAUUUGAAAAGGCAAUCGAAGAUGCACAUAUCGCCCGUCACCCUAAAAUUUAGGUAAGUCGUAACAAAGUAGAAGUUUCGGAAGAAGCCUCUUGU
This 596-nucleotide ribosomal RNA is filed under the name Leptotrombidium akamushi. Lineage: Eukaryota; Metazoa; Arthropoda; Arachnida; Trombidiformes; Trombiculidae. The record is from RNAcentral.